Molecule: ribosomal RNA, 272 nt
Filed under: uncultured soil bacterium
Lineage: Bacteria
Description: partial 16S ribosomal RNA
Rfam family: Bacterial small subunit ribosomal RNA
Source: RNAcentral
AGAAUCAACGCUGGCGGCGUGCCUCAGACAUGCAAGUCGAACGCGAAAGUUCCCUUCGGGGGGCGAGUAGAGUGGCGCACGGGUGAGUAACACGUAGGUAAUCCACCUUCGGAUGGGGAAUAACAACCGGAAACGGUUGCUAAUACCGCAUAAUGCAGCGGCACCUAAUGGUGACAGUUGUUAAAGCGGGGGAUCGAAAGACCUCGCGUCUGAAGAGGAGCCUGCGGCGGAUUAGCUAGUUGGUAAGGUAAUGGCUUACAAGGCUACGAUCC